UUAUUACUGAUACAAAUUCUUAUUUAAAAAGCCAAAUCCGCCUUUGACAUUUUCCUCUGACUAUGUGUCAGACUAUGUGCGCAACGUCAUAAAUCAUUCAGAUGCAUGUGCCGCCGACAAAAAGGCGUCAGCAACACACCCUAGAGCUGGCAAACUAUUGAUAAUCGCAACAUUCGGUAUUUUCGAUAGCUUUAUUAAUAAAGAUCGAUACUAUCGUUCAAUUCCCAACACCUAUAUUUCAAACAAAAAUCAGGAGAUCGAUUUCGAUAGACCAAAUGAAACCAAGGGUAAUAAAGUCAGUUGGAAGUCAUGAGAGAAAUCAUUGUACAAAAUGUUAGUCUAAUCAGAUGAAAAUUUCACCCUCUAUAGGCGCAAUGUAACUUACCGGAUACAAGUGUUGGACUGCUUAUUUUUGUUUAGUUUCUCAAAAAAUUUUACUUUUGCAAUAGUAUCCAUCGGAAAAAUAUCAAUCGAUAUUCAGUCAAAAUAUUAAAUAUCGAUAGUGCCAGCUCUAACACACACAGGUAACAGCUUAAACCAUGCAAAACAUACACGUGUUGCACAAACAGUCUGAUGUACGCAUUCGCCAAGAAAAGUCGUGCACGGUAACAAUAAACAAAAGGAAAAAAUGCAAAAAUAUGAAAUAAAAUGACCAAGGCAAGUUUGGUCAUUCUUUCUGUGAUUCGCAAAGGAUUUAUACUACUAAUUACACACGGACCUACACCUUUCAUGUCUGUAAAGUAUUGUUGAUAUGGCGUAACGGAACUUCUGGGAAAAUAUGGCGCUUACCCUAUGCGACUUAUUUACAAUUGCGUAUUGUGAACAUUAUUACAUAUGUAUUGGUACUGUGUGAUUAAGGAUCAAAUAGCAAGCAGAGUUGAUUGUAGUACACAUUUAUGGGCGUUGGAAUUGGGGAAAGCACAAAAACAGCAACCAAGACAACAAUUUGCUUGAUUUCAUGCGAAAUCAUCAAGAUAUUGCAAAAGGGUUUGCUGAAGGGGACAAGGUUGUGGUGGAAGAGCUGUGGAAGGAAUUAAGCGGAUAUCUUAAUGCGGCAGGUCCUCCAACUAAAGAUGUAUCUAACUGGAAAAUGUUUGUUUAAGGAAUUUUAA
Molecule: long non-coding RNA, 1112 nt
Organism: Stomoxys calcitrans (stable fly)
Lineage: Eukaryota; Metazoa; Arthropoda; Insecta; Diptera; Muscidae
Exons: 3
Source: RefSeq, a predicted model, not a curated record